GUCUACAGCCAUACCGCCCUGAAUGCACCUGAUUUCAGAAGCUAAGCAGAGGUCAAGGCUGUUUCGUCCUGGAAUGGGAGACCACCUUGGAAUACCGGAUGCCCUAGGCU
This is a ribosomal RNA of Nomascus leucogenys (northern white-cheeked gibbon), 110 nucleotides long. Lineage: Eukaryota; Metazoa; Chordata; Mammalia; Primates; Hylobatidae. The record is from Ensembl.